RNAcentral lists this unclassified non-coding RNA (290 nucleotides) under Hevea brasiliensis (rubber tree). The record is from RNAcentral. Lineage: Eukaryota; Viridiplantae; Streptophyta; Magnoliopsida; Malpighiales; Euphorbiaceae.
AGAAUAUAACGUUUGGAGCUUUCGUAAAAGGACUAAUCAAAUUGUUCAUCCAGGUUUGCAAUAACCCAUCAAGAAUGUCCCAUAAUUAAUCUGUAAGCUAUCGAUAAACACAUCACCAAUAGCUUAGAAAGUAGCCGAAAACAUGAGAUUCUCCCUCACCAGACAAAGAAGAGUACAAAUACAUGCCAGUGACAAGAAACAUAACAGCAGUCCACAACAUUUUCGAAAGAACCUCUCAUAGCCGGCUAAUGACUGCCUCCACCUCUGCAGGGGUGUACAGAUGGUAUGUU